Molecule: transfer RNA, 94 nt
Filed under: Chloropicon primus
Lineage: Eukaryota; Viridiplantae; Chlorophyta; Chloropicophyceae; Chloropicales; Chloropicaceae
Rfam family: tRNA
About the family: Transfer RNA (tRNA) molecules are approximately 80 nucleotides in length.
Source: Rfam by way of RNAcentral
GCCUUAGUAGCUCAGUUGGUAGUCAGCGUUACCUUCGUACAGAAUCUCGUAUAGGAAAAGGUAAAGGUCCGGAGUUCGAUUCUCCGCUGAGGCA